RNAcentral lists this small RNA (916 nucleotides) under Arabidopsis thaliana (thale cress). RNAcentral describes it as "ATSL041330". Lineage: Eukaryota; Viridiplantae; Streptophyta; Magnoliopsida; Brassicales; Brassicaceae. The record is from RNAcentral.
UUACAUGCAAAGUGAUGACAAAUGAUCAGAAAUGGUAUAAAACAGUGAUGAUAAAGGGAUGCUCAAAACAGGCAAAAUGCACACUUAUCAACUCCCCCAAACUUAGUCUUUGCUUGCCCUCAAGCAAACAAUUAAGAGAAAGUUGGAGGUGAGGUUUGAAAGCGGGGACUCAGAGCCAAAGCACCAGAUAAACCAGAUGAAAUCAAUGUCCAAGUUGAUUGUUCUAAGCUGCGAUAUGAUCGAAUUCUACUCAAAAACGUUAGCCAUGCCUUGUUAUUAAUCAAUCCGACUCAUAUGCUCGAGCUACACAUGUUUUCAAAUCUACCAAUCCCUUUAACAUUCAUUAGCUCUUGAACGUGAAUCAAGCAAUGCAUCAUCAAUGAACUCAUUUGGCUAAGGUAAAAGGUCAAGAGACAAAGAUGGUCCCUUACUGAAUAGGCUUCAGUAACAGGGGAUCUCUCAAAAAAUGAUUAAGCUUUAGUAUAAUGCUAAAGGUAAGUCCCAAGCUAUACAUACAGAGAUAAGAUCCCAUCUACCCGGAAUAUAUCAAAUGAAGCUCUAAUGGUAAUCCCAUCUCCCAUCUCAAUAUAAGAACUUAACUCUACCCUUUGCAUCCAUGAAUCUUUUAAGCCCUUUUUUCAAUUAUUCUUUUCUUUUCUCUUAACUCUAGGAGAACUUUCUCAACACUUUGAUACAUCUAGCGGAUUUGGAUUUCUUUAACAACUAAGGUUCCUGUUUUUAACAUUUUAAAACCAAGGGCUUUUGCCUAUCUUCAAUAGCUAACAAGAACUCUUUCUUUUCUUUACAAAUCCCAAAACCUUUACUAGACUUUUUCUGCUUCUUUAGCUUACUUCACCUAGAGUCUUUUACCUUUUCUCAUCAAUGAAUCAACCUUUUUGUUUUUCUUUUAAACACA